Molecule: ribosomal RNA, 497 nt
Filed under: uncultured bacterium
Lineage: Bacteria
Description: partial 16S ribosomal RNA
Rfam family: Bacterial small subunit ribosomal RNA
Source: RNAcentral
GAUGAACGCUGGCGGCGUGCCUAAUACAUGCAGGUCGAGCGAACGGACGAGAAGCUUGCUUCUCUGAUGUUAGCGGCGGACGGGUGAGUAACACGUGGAUAACCUACCUAUAAGACUGGGAUAAUUUCGGGAAACCGGAGCUAAUACCGGAUAAUAUUUUGAACCGCAUGGUUCAAAAGUGAAAGACGGUCUUGCUGUCACUUAUAGAUGGAUCCGCGCUGCAUUAGCUAGUUGGUAAGGUAACGGCUUACCAAGGCAACGAUGCAUAGCCGACCUGAGAGGGUGAUCGGCCACACUGGAACUGAGACACGGUCCAGACUCCUACGGGAGGCAGCAGUAGGGAAUCUUCCGCAAUGGGCGAAAGCCUGACGGAGCAACGCCGCGUGAGUGAUGAAGGUCUUCGGAUCGUAAAACUCUGUUAUUAGGGAAGAACAUAUGUGUAAGUAACUGUGCACAUCUUGACGGUACCUAAUCAGAAAGCCACGGCUAACUACGUG